GCCGAGGUGGCACAGCCCGGUACUGCGCGAGCCUGGAAAGCUCGUGAGGAAUCGUCCUCUCAGGAGUUCAAAUCUCCUCCUCGGCG
RNAcentral lists this transfer RNA (86 nucleotides) under Thermoplasmatales archaeon. RNAcentral describes it as "tRNA-Ser". It matches the Rfam family "tRNA". From Rfam's summary of the family: Transfer RNA (tRNA) molecules are approximately 80 nucleotides in length. Their secondary structure includes four short double-helical elements and three loops (D, anti-codon, and T loops). Further hydrogen bonds mediate the characteristic L-shaped molecular structure. tRNAs have two regions of fundamental functional importance: the anti-codon, which is responsible for specific mRNA codon recognition, and the 3' end, to which the tRNAs corresponding amino acid is attached (by aminoacyl-tRNA synthetases). tRNAs cope with the degeneracy of the genetic code in two manners: having more than one tRNA (with a specific anti-codon) for a particular amino acid; and 'wobble' base-pairing, i.e. permitting non-standard base-pairing at the 3rd anti-codon position. The record is from RNAcentral. Lineage: Archaea; Methanobacteriati; Thermoplasmatota; Thermoplasmata; Thermoplasmatales.